Molecule: ribosomal RNA, 492 nt
Filed under: uncultured bacterium
Lineage: Bacteria
Description: partial 16S ribosomal RNA
Rfam family: Bacterial small subunit ribosomal RNA
Source: RNAcentral
AGUGAACGCUGGCGGUAGGCCUAACACAUGCAAGUCGAACGGCAGCACAGUAAGAGCUUGCUCUUACGGGUGGCGAGUGGCGGACGGGUGAGGAAUACAUCGGAAUCUACUUUUUCGUGGGGGAUAACGUAGGGAAACUUACGCUAAUACCGCAUACGACCUACGGGUGAAAGCAGGGGAUCUUCGGACCUUGCGCGAUUGAAUGAGCCGAUGUCGGAUUAGCUAGUUGGCGGGGUAAAGGCCCACCAAGGCGACGAUCCGUAGCUGGUCUGAGAGGAUGAUCAGCCACACUGGAACUGAGACACGGUCCAGACUCCUACGGGGGGCAGCAGUGGGGAAUAUUGGACAAUGGGCGCAAGCCUGAUCCAGCCAUACCGCGUGGGUGAAGAAGGCCUUCGGGUUGUAAAGCCCUUUUGUUGGGAAAGAAAAGCAGCAGGUUAAUACCCUGCUGUUCUGACGGUACCCAAAGAAUAAGCACCGGCUAACUUCGUG